CUCCGUUUUGCUGCGUGUUCCGCUUAUGACGCAGUUUUGUUUUAAAGUGGAGUUUUACUUUCUAUUGUAAAUAGUAUUGUAGAGUGAAGAACUUACCAAAGUACAGGAAUUCACCAAGUUGAGUAAUUUUGAUAUCGUUUGGCGGUUUUGGAGAGGAUCGACCUAUAUUGAAUCUUGGUUCAAGAAAAAGUGACUUGCAACUGAGGUAUCCCCUGCUAAAGUAGGAAGGAUAGUGCAGUGUCUAUUCUCCAGAGGAAAAGAUUUCCAGCAUUGCAGUUUUUAUGAUUUGCAAACUAGCACCUGACUGCAUACUUGGCUUUGUGACAAGUGGUAACUGAUCCGUGGAACCUCUUAGCCAGGAAAUGGAGAAUAAUAUGUUUUUCAAACUGCUCUGAUGAAGUGGAACUUGAUACCCUUUACAUGACCAGAUGACAUCAUCAUAUUUGUCGCAGGUGUAUUUAAUGUAUCUAUAUAUACAAAUUACUUAAUUCUAAUUAUACAAAUAAAAAAAUUUCUUCUGCAUAAAAACACCACAUUGUGGUCCCAAUUGCCUUUAAUCUGCUAUGAAAAUGCUUGAAGCUGGUACAGAGAUAUGAAAUAAAUAUCCAUAUUCAUAAUCUCAUAUGACCAGCAGGUUAUUGCUCUAUUAUACUGCAGAGGCCAAUUAAUUUAUUCUCUUUACACAGUGAUUGCAGAGAAAUGUAACCUGUCCAAAUAAUUGACUUUUAUAUGUUAAAGGACAAUGAGAAGUCUUCCUUCAUAAAACAAAGCAGCAAAAUAUUAAGAAAUUCACUAAAUGUUUAAACUCUCAAUUACCUUAAAACAUUUGAACAACAAUGAUUAUGGAAUAAGCUGCUAUUAAACUUAUCAUUAUCUAGCUCUGCACGGUUACGCACCAAUGAAGGGAAUUUUCAUGUAAAUCAUGCACUAAGCUUCAAAAACCUUCCCGAAAUAUUUUUACAGACAGGUAAUCAGAUCAAGAACGGGUGCUGACACAAAAAAUAUAUAUUAGGAGGCAUUGGGUAAAAGCCUGGAUGGAAGGCUUUUUUAAAACAUUUCAGUAGGAAUAUAGACUACUGGUUUAGGCAGGGAAUCCUGCAUUUGUGCCAUUUAAUUCAUAGCUGAGUUCCUGUACAUGUAACAAUAUUAUUUCUCCUCUUCCCCUCUGAAGGCUCUGACUUGUUUUCAUGCACUCCAUGGAUGUUGGCUUGCUGAGAGCUCUCCACAUACCUAUUAUCUAAGUAUAGACACCAAUCGGUUUCUGAGAGAUGCCACAACCAAGCCCGAUCAUGCUUGGUCCACUUGGCACUUUCCAACAGAGAUUACUGGUUGCUGACAAGGCACACAAUUAACCCUACCCACAACUGAUCUUUUACCUUUCUUGGCCCAGGAGUUACCAAGCCAAUUCCAACUCCAGCCAACUGAACAUAGACUGAUUUUAUGGCCAAUGCUUCUACCUUUAGUAACCUUAUAACAUAUAACCAUAUAACAAUUACAGCACGGAAACAGGCCAUCUCAGCCCUUCUAGUCCGUGCCGUACUAAUAGUACUGGUAGUAUUUGUACUAAUAAGUACUAGUCAUCUGAUGAAGGGGCUCAAAAUAGAAACAUUUACUUUUUUUAAAACCACAAAUGCUGCAUUAUUUUUUACUUUGUGGUAUUUUUCUUUUUUUUUUCAGAUUUCUUGCAUCUGCAUUUUCUUAUUUUCCUUAGUUCUUUGAGGUUCUGGCCUGGGAGUUACUCCACACUGAUGGUACAAGUUGUGAGGAAGACUUUGUGAUUCUGCAAUGGGAUACAGAUUGAUUGAGGGACUGGGCAAAUACAGUUUUGCAUGGGGGAAGUCAAGUCAUGCAUUUCAAAAAGGGGAAUCAAAACAUAGAUUCUCAUCAAAAUGGAGAGAGAAAGAAAAUGAAUGAAGUUCAGAGGAAUUGAAGUAGUCAAGUGUUUUAAUCACAAAAAGUUAGUAGGGAGGUCGAACAAGCAGUUAAGGCAGCAAACAGCA
Long non-coding RNA from Mobula hypostoma (lesser devil ray), 2000 nucleotides. RefSeq lists it as uncharacterized. NCBI's taxonomy places the organism in Eukaryota, Metazoa, Chordata, Chondrichthyes, Myliobatiformes, Myliobatidae. The record is from RefSeq and is a predicted model, not a curated record. The transcript is spliced from 3 exons.